CGUGCUCGGUGUAAGCUCCGAUAAGAGUAGGCUCCAAGAAGCGGUCCCCGCGGGCUCAGUUCCGGGAGCCAGAAUUCGGCCUCUUAGUGCUUGGUGUAUGCUCUGAUAGGAGCAGGGUCCAAGAAGCCCCUAAUACAAUCCUUAAUGAGAAAAGCGAAGCAGGAGACAUCAUAAUCCCAGACCUUAGAGCUAUAACAACAAAAAUGGCAUGGUAUUUGGCACCAAAACAGACAUGAAUACCAAUGGAACAGAAUAGAAGACACAGAGUCAAACCUAUAUAAAUACUCUUACCUUAUAUUAGACAAAGGUGCCAUAAACAUACAAUGGAGAACAUAUAGCCUCUUCAACAAAUGGUACUGGGAAAACUGGAAAUCCAUAUGUAGUAGAAUGAAAUUGAACCCCAUAUCUCUCAUCCUGCACAAAACUCAACUCAAAGUGGAUCAAGGAUCUAGGCAUUAGACCAGAGACCCUGCGCCUAAUAGAUGAAACAGUAGGCUCAAAUCUAUAUCAUAUCAGAUUAGGAACUGAAUUCCUCAACAAGACUCCUAAAGCACAAGAAGUAAAAUCAAGAAUCAAUAAAUGGGAUGGUAUCAAACCAAAAAGCUUCUUUACAGCAAAGGAAACAAUCAAGAAUGUG
This 637-nucleotide long non-coding RNA is filed under the name Marmota monax (woodchuck). Lineage: Eukaryota; Metazoa; Chordata; Mammalia; Rodentia; Sciuridae. The record is from RNAcentral.